CUCUCCGUGGCGGAGUCGGCUAGCGCGUUCUGCUGUUAACCGAAAGGUUGGUGGUUCAAGCCCACCCGGGGGCG
Araneus ventricosus is the source of this 74-nucleotide non-coding RNA. The record is from the annotation of a GenBank genome assembly. NCBI's taxonomy places the organism in Eukaryota, Metazoa, Arthropoda, Arachnida, Araneae, Araneidae.